RNAcentral lists this ribosomal RNA (1975 nucleotides) under human gut metagenome. RNAcentral describes it as "bacterial LSU rRNA". It matches the Rfam family "Bacterial large subunit ribosomal RNA", at positions 3 to 1999 of the family's 2925-position model. The record is from RNAcentral.
UCAAGCUAUAAAGAGCGCAAGGGGAAUGCCUUGGCAUCAGGAGCCGAAGAAGGACGUGACAAGCUGCGAUAAGCCACGGGGAGGAGCAAAUAUCCGCUAUAUCCGUGGAUUUCCGAAUGGGGGAACCCGCUUGAGCAAUACUCAAGCAUCGUGCAUUGAAUCAAAUAGGUGUACGAGGGGAACGGUCUGAACUGAAACAUCUAAGUAGGACCAGGAAAAGACAUCAACCGAGAUUCCGCAAGUAGUGGCGAGCGAACGCGGAGGAGGCCAAACCGGAGGAUUUAUUCUCCGGGGUUGCGGACAGACAUCACGAUCAGAGGAAGCUAGGAGAACGGCAUGGGAAGGCCGGCUAGAAAGGGUGAGAGCCCCGUAUCCGAAAGCAGGAGCUGACAGUCUGGAUCCAGAGUACCGCGGGACACGUGAAACCCCGUGGGAAACCGGGUGGACCACCAUCCAAGCCUAAAUACUACCUGAUGACCGAUAGAGGAGCAGUACCGUGAGGGAAAGGUGAAAAGGACCCCGGGAGGGGAGUGAAAGAGAACCUGAAACCUUGUGCUUACAAGCACUCAAAGCACGUUAAAGUGUGAUGAGGUACUUUUUGUAGAACGGUCCGGCGAGUUAUUGUAUGUAGCGAGCUUAAGGUGUUCAGCACCGGAGGCGAAGCGAGAGCGAGUCUGAAUAGGGCGACACAGUUGCAUGCAAUAGACCCGAAACCAGGUGACCUAUCCAUGGGCAGGUUGAAGUGGGGGUAAAACCCCAUGGAGGACCGAACGCACGUUCGUUGCAAUGACCGGCGAUGACUUGUGGAUAGCGGUGAAAUUCCAAUCGAACCCGGAGAUAGCUGGUUCUCCCCGAAAUAGCUUUAGGGCUAGCGUCGAGAGAAGAGUUGCGUGAAGGUAGAGCACUGAAUAUGUGAUGGCCCCAUCUCGGGGUACUGAGCAUAAUCAAACUGCGAAUGUCACGCCAACAUGCUCGGCAGUCAGACAGCGGGUGAUAAGGUCCGUUGUCAAGAGGGAAACAGCCCAGACCAUCAGCUAAGGUCCCAAAAUGUAUGCUAAGUGGAAAAGGAUGUGGAGAUGUACAGACAACUAGGAGGUUGGCUCAGAAGCAGCCAUCCUUUAAAGAGUGCGUAACAGCUCACUAGUCGAAUGACUCUGCGCCGAUAAUUUACCGGGGCUAAGCAUACUACCGAAGCUAUGGAUCCCAAGGGAUGGUAGGGGAGCGUUCCAUGAACGGAGAAGUACGACCGAAAGGACGUGUGGAGAUCAUGGAAGAGAGAAUGCCGGUGUGAGUAGCGGAACGUGGGUGAGAAUCCCACGCACCGAAAACCCAAGGUUUCCAGAGGAAGGUUCGUCCGCUCUGGGUAAGUCGGGACCUAAGGCGAGGCCGAAAGGCGUAGUCGAUGGACAACAGGUAGAGAUUCCUGUACCCGUAUAUAUGUGAAGGAAUGACGGAGAGAGGAAGCUGCAGCCAGCGGCUGGAAGAGCUGGUGCAAGCGAGAUAUCGGGAUGGCAGGCAAAUCCACCAUCCGAAACGAGAAGGCGUGAAGCGUACGGAAAGCUACGGCGAGUACGGAAGGCAGUGGAGGAACUUCCAAGAAAAGUUUCUAACGUUAAGUAUAUAUGGCCCGUACCGAAAAUGGACACACAUGGGUGAGGAGAGAAUCCUAAGGUGAGCGAGAGAACUAUAGCUAAGGAACUCUGCAAAAUGACUCCGUAACUUAGGGAGAAGGAGUGCUCAUAGAGAUAUGAGCCGCAGUGAAACGGCCCAAGCGACUGUUUACCAAAAACACAGCUCUCUGCUAAGCCGCAAGGCGAAGUAUAGGGGGUGACGCCUGCCCGGUGCUGGAAGGUUAAGGGGAGGGGUUAACGCAAGUGAAGCCCUGAACUGAAGCCCCAGUAAACGGCGGCCGUAACUAUAACGGUCCUAAGGUAGCGAAAUUCCUUGUCAGGUAAGUUCUGACCCGCACGAAUGG